UGUGGCUCAGCGGUAGAGUGCUUGCUUAGCAUGCAUAAGGCCCUGGGUUCGAUCCUCAGCA
RNAcentral lists this transfer RNA (61 nucleotides) under Ictidomys tridecemlineatus (thirteen-lined ground squirrel). Its description in RNAcentral is "Spermophilus tridecemlineatus (thirteen-lined ground squirrel) tRNA". It matches the Rfam family "tRNA", at positions 6 to 65 of the family's 71-position model. Rfam says of the family: Transfer RNA (tRNA) molecules are approximately 80 nucleotides in length. Their secondary structure includes four short double-helical elements and three loops (D, anti-codon, and T loops). Lineage: Eukaryota; Metazoa; Chordata; Mammalia; Rodentia; Sciuridae. The record is from Rfam by way of RNAcentral.